AUUGAACGCUGGCGGCAGGCCUAACACAUGCAAGUCGAGCGGAUGAGAAGAGCUUGCUCUUCGAUUCAGCGGCGGACGGGUGAGUAAUGCCUAGGAAUCUGCCUGGUAGUGGGGGACAACGUUUCGAAAGGAACGCUAAUACCGCAUACGUCCUACGGGAGAAAGCAGGGGACCUUCGGGCCUUGCGCUAUCAGAUGAGCCUAGGUCGGAUUAGCUAGUUGGUGGGGUAAAGGCUCACCAAGGCGACGAUCCGUAACUGGUCUGAGAGGAUGAUCAGUCACACUGGAACUGAGACACGGUCCAGACUCCUACGGGAGGCAGCAGUGGGGAAUAUUGGACAAAGGGCGAAAGCCUGAUCCAGCCAUGCCGCGUGUGUGAAGAAGGUCUUCGGAUUGUAAAGCACUUUAAGUUGGGAGGAAGGGCAUUAACCUAAUACGUUAGUGUUUUGACGUUACCGACAGAAUAAGCACCGGCUAACUCUGUG
This 484-nucleotide ribosomal RNA is filed under the name uncultured bacterium. RNAcentral's name for it is "partial 16S ribosomal RNA". It matches the Rfam family "Bacterial small subunit ribosomal RNA", at positions 30 to 507 of the family's 1533-position model. The record is from RNAcentral.